GAUGAACGCUGGCGGCGUGCUUAACACAUGCAAGUCGAACGGAAAGGCCUCAGCUUGCUGGGGUACUCGAGUGGCGAACGGGUGAGUAACACGUGGGUGAUCUGCCCUGCACUUUGGGAUAAGCUUGGGAAACUGGGUCUAAUACCGAAUAUGACCACUUCUUGGAUGUUGUGGUGGAAAGCUUUUGCGGUGUGGGGUGAGCCUGCGGCCUAUCAGCUUGUUGGUGGGGUAAUGGCCUACCAAGGCGGCGACGGGUAUCCGGCCUGGGAGGGUGUACGGACACACUGGGACUGAGAUACGGCCCAGACUCCUACGGGAGGCAGCAGUGGGGAAUAUUGCACAAUGGGCGCAAGCCUGAUGCAGCGACGCCGCGUGGGGGAUGAAGGCCUUCGGGUUGUAAACUCCUUUCGCUAUCGACGAAGCCACUUGUGGUGACGGUAGGUAGAUAAGAAGCACCGGCUAACUACGUGCCAGCAGCCGCCGUAA
Molecule: ribosomal RNA, 486 nt
Filed under: uncultured bacterium
Lineage: Bacteria
Description: partial 16S ribosomal RNA
Rfam family: Bacterial small subunit ribosomal RNA
Source: RNAcentral